CGGGGCCCAGUAGCUAGCAG
Molecule: unclassified non-coding RNA, 20 nt
Filed under: Mus musculus (house mouse)
Lineage: Eukaryota; Metazoa; Chordata; Mammalia; Rodentia; Muridae
Description: oocyte_clustered_small_RNA9878
Source: RNAcentral